RNAcentral lists this ribosomal RNA (549 nucleotides) under uncultured bacterium. Its description in RNAcentral is "bacterial SSU rRNA". It matches the Rfam family "Bacterial small subunit ribosomal RNA", at positions 52 to 507 of the family's 1533-position model. The record is from RNAcentral.
CACAUGCAAGUCGAACGGGCUAGUGCUUCGCACUAGUCUCUUUCUGGGGUUGUUACUCUAAGGCUACCUGCUAAAGUUAUUGCUUUAAAGCAGGGGUUUUAGGAGACUUUCCCCGAAAGGGGCCAGUGCGGAGCACUGGCCAGUGGCGAACGGGUGAGUAACACGUGGGUAAUCUACCCUCGAGUGGGGAAUAAGCUUCCGAAAGGGGGUCUAAUGCCGCAUAACGUUUCAUAACGAUGGUUAUGAAACCAAAGCCCAAAAGGCGCUCGAGGAGGAGCCUGCGUCCUAUCAGCUUGUUGGCAGGGUAAUGGCCUACCAAGGCUAUGACGGGUAGCCGGCCUGAGAGGGUGUCCGGCCACACUGGAACUGAGACACGGUCCAGACUCCUACGGGAGGCAGCAGUGGGGAAUUUUGCGCAAUGGGGGAAACCCUGACGCAGCGACGCCGCGUGGAGGAUGACGGCCUUCGGGUUGUAAACUCCUGUCAGAAGGGACGAAACCCCGCAAGGGACUGACGGUACCUUCAGAGGAAGCCCCGGCUAACUACGUG